CUUGCUUCUCUUGUAGAGCGGCGGACGGGUGAGUAAUGCCUAGGAAUCUGCCUGGUAGUGGGGGAUAACGUUCGGAAACGGACGCUAAUACCGCAUACGUCCUACGGGAGAAAGCAGGGGACCUUCGGGCCUUGCGCUAUCAGAUGAGCCUAGGUCGGAUUAGCUAGUUGGUGGGGUAAUGGCUCACCAAGGCGACGAUCCGUAACUGGUCUGAGAGGAUGAUCAGUCACACUGGAACUGAGACACGGUCCAGACUCCUACGGGAGGCAGCAGUGGGGAAUAUUGGACAAUGGGCGAAAGCCUGAUCCAGCCAUGCCGCGUGUGUGAAGAAGGUCUUCGGAUUGUAAAGCACUUUAAGUUGGGAGGAAGGGUUGUAGAUUAAUACUCUGCAAUUUUGACGUUACCGACAGAAUAAGCACCGGCUAACUCUGUGCCAGCAGCCGCGGUAAUACAGAGGGUGCAAGCGUUAAUCGGAAUUACUGGGCGUAAAGCGCGCGUAGGUGGUUUGUUAAGUUGGAUGUGAAAUCCCCGGGCUCAACCUGGGAACUGCAUUCAAAACUGACUGACUAGAGUAUGGUAGAGGGUGGUGGAAUUUCCUGUGUAGCGGUGAAAUGCGUAGAUAUAGGAAGGAACACCAGUGGCGAAGGCGACCACCUGGACUAAUACUGACAGUGAGGUGCGAAAGCGUGGGGAGCAAACAAGAUUAGAUACCCUG
This 715-nucleotide ribosomal RNA is filed under the name uncultured bacterium. Its description in RNAcentral is "bacterial SSU rRNA". It matches the Rfam family "Bacterial small subunit ribosomal RNA", at positions 79 to 789 of the family's 1533-position model. The record is from RNAcentral.